RNAcentral lists this ribosomal RNA (433 nucleotides) under uncultured bacterium. RNAcentral's name for it is "partial 16S ribosomal RNA". It matches the Rfam family "Bacterial small subunit ribosomal RNA", at positions 29 to 507 of the family's 1533-position model. The record is from RNAcentral.
AACGAACGCUGGCGGCAUGCCUAACACAUGCAAGUCGAACGAGACCUUCGGGUCUAGUGGCGCACGGGUGCGUAACGCGUGGGAACCUGCCCUUAGGUUCGGAAUAACUCCCCGAAAGGGGUGCUAAUACCGGAUAAUGUCUUCGGCCCAAAGAUUUAUCGCCUUUGGAUGUGCCCGCGUUGGAUUAGCUAGUUGGUAGGGUAAAAGCCUACCAAGGCGACGAUCCAUAGCUGGUCUGGGAGGAUGAUCAGCCACACUGGGACUGAGACACGGCCCAGACUCCUACGGGAGGCAGCAGUGGGGAAUAUUGGAAAAUGGGCGAAGGGCUGAUCCAGCAAGGCCGGGUGAGUGAUGAAGGCCUGAGGGUUGUAAAGCUCUUGUACCCGGGAUGAUAAUGACAGUACCGGGAGAAUAAGCCACGGCUAACUCCGUG